GGGUGACGCUUGCAAGCCGAAGAACACCAUCCCAACCGUCAAGCACGGGGUUGGCAGCAUCAUGUUGUCGGGGUGCUUUGCUGCAGGAGGGACUGGUGCACUUCACAAAAUAGAUGGCAUCAUGAGGCAGGAAAAUUAUGUGGAUAUAUUGAAGCAACAUCUCAAGACAUCAGUCAGGAAGUUAAACAAUUUAAAAGGCAAUGCUACCAAAUACUAAUUGAGUGUAUGUAAACUUCUGACCCACUGGGAAUGCGAUAAAAGAAAGAAAAGCUGAAAUAAAUCAUUCUCUCUACUAUUAUUCUGACAUUUCACAUUCUUAAAAUAAAGUGGUGAUCCUAACUGACAGGGAAUUUUUACUAUGAUUAAAUGUCAGGAAUUGUGAAAAACUGAGUAUGAAUGUAUUUGUCUAAGGUGUAUGUAAACUUCCGACUUCAACUGUAAUUGAGUGCCCUUAUUUGCUUUUUUGUUCACAGUACCAUGUUUGAUGUGGUUAAUUUCCCGAAUGAAGAUGACAGUUUAGCUGUGUUAUUGGCCUCCAUACAAGAGCCAAGAGAGGUUAAGGAAGGCAGUGAUGUCGCAGGAACGGCCAGACAUUGAUACAUGGGAGGUGUAUUCAAUGAAAUUACUGGAGACAAGGAAUUCAUAUGAGAAAGCCCAUGACUGCUCAAGCCUGGAAACAGAGCCAGUGUCUCACCAAAGAAAGAGAAAGUCCUCAGUCCUCUUCGUCACAGGGUCCAGCUGCUCAACAGCAUGAAGCUACCUGAUCUUGCCCAUCAUAUUAUCUGAGGUGUAAAGGGAGACUCUGUUUAUCUCUGAACUCUGUUUAUCAUGCAUCCUUGCUCUUUAUUACAAAUGCCAAGUCACUCACCCACCAUUGCACCUUGUACCAAAUGGUAGGUUGGACCUCACUUUAUAUGCGCAGAAAAGAUACAUUUGUAUGUGUUCAUCUACAAAGCCCUUUUGUGUAAAUUCCCUCUGUAGUCUGGUCGCCUUCACCACCAGCAGUUACUAGGUGAUUGCUACUUAAAGUCCCCAGGACAUUCACAGUAUUAGGCAAGACUGCCUUCUUUUCUUGUGCACCAGAGGCAUGGAAUAGUCUACAAUCCAUGCUUCAUCUAGAUAUGUUAGUGCCACUGAAUUAAUUUAAAAUAUUGAUGGGAGACUUUGUUACGGAGGAGUGUAAAUGCUUUUUUAGGCUUGAUCAUGUUGUGUUGUAUUGUUGUAUGUUUUAAUUCUGUAAUGUAUUGAUUGUUGUUGCCUUCUUGGCCAGGUCUCCCUUGAAAAAGAGAUUCUGGGUCUCAACGGGCUUUUCCUGGUUAAAUAAAGGUUAAAUAAAAUAAAUAAAAAUGUUAAUCUUUAAAAAUAAAAUGAAAACACAUCUUCUGUCAGCAAGUUACCACGGGUGUGUUUCACAAUAAUUAUUACUUUCAUGCAACAAUUAUCAACACAAACCAUUUGUUAGAUUUUUUUUUUUAAUGUACAAGCAGGAUAUAGAAA
This is a long non-coding RNA of Salvelinus fontinalis (brook trout), 1497 nucleotides long. RefSeq lists it as uncharacterized. The transcript has 3 exons. Lineage: Eukaryota; Metazoa; Chordata; Actinopteri; Salmoniformes; Salmonidae. The record is from RefSeq and is a predicted model, not a curated record.